Molecule: long non-coding RNA, 835 nt
Organism: Engraulis encrasicolus (European anchovy)
Lineage: Eukaryota; Metazoa; Chordata; Actinopteri; Clupeiformes; Engraulidae
Exons: 3
Source: RefSeq, a predicted model, not a curated record
AUGACCAGGAUGUACCUCGAGGAGAGAGAGCUACAGGGGAAAUUAACAAUCCACUUCUUGAAAAAGAAGUGGGAAAACCUUAAACAAAAGUACAAGCUGAAAUUAAUGUGAGGCCAGCCAGCCAGCCUUCACAUGCUCUGGAAGAAAAUCUGCAACUAAGGUUUCAACAUGACAAGCCUCGCAAUGGAUGGACACCUGGCCACCGCUCCUCCGCCUCCUUCGGAACGGAUGACUGUGGGGGGGAUCUCCAAGGAAAUGGACACGGGACCGGGUUUGGAAUUUCGGACUUGUAGGCUAUAGAUUUGGGGUGCCCCGGGACUCUUUUAGAUUUCUGUUAGUUAAUAAAUAUUAUUUUAAAACUCAAUAUUUGUGUCUUGGCGUAUUUGUGGUGUACAGUAGGCCUACUCUCCAGGGUAUUUGGUAACAAGGAGAGGUGUCGCUGGAAAAAUGCGCACUCUCACCUGCGACACAUAACCCGACAGUUGGUUACACUUAAUUUGAGCACGAAAACAGCAAUAUCAGUCGCUUGCUAAUUUUUGCCAAUGUGACAACAUUAAAUUCAUUAGGGAAGUGUAGGUUAGGUUAUCGCCCCAGCUGUUGGCGAUGUGAGAUAAAUAGCCAACGCUUACACGCUCAAACGAAGCGCUGUUAGGUUACUGCGGUGAGGUGUAUUGCACUCUCCGUAAUUUUUACCAAACGAAAAAAGUAUCCACAUCCAGAAAACAAGUCUGAAGUUGCAAUAUUAGACGUUUCAAAUCUUGCGAUGCGAGAAUCGGUAUGGCUUCUGGCUACACUCAAUUUACAUUUUGUCAGAGCUUGCACAUUAAUGGCAAUU